AGUGAACGCUGGCGGUAGGCCUAACACAUGCAAGUCGAACGGCAGCACAGUAAGAGCUUGCUCUUACGGGUGGCGAGUGGCGGACGGGGGAGGAAUACAUCGGAAUCUACUUUUUCGUGGGGGAUAACGUAGGGAAACUUACGCUAAUACCGCAUACGACCUACGGGUGAAAGCAGGGGAUCUUCGGACCUUGCGCGAUUGAAUGAGCCGAUGUCGGAUUAGCUAGUUGGCGGGGUAAAGGCCCACCAAGGCGACGAUCCGUAGCUGGUCUGAGAGGAUGAUCAGCCACACUGGAACUGAGACACGGUCCAGACUCCUACGGGAGGCAGCAGUGGGGAAUAUUGGACAAUGGGCGCAAGCCUGAUCCAGCCAUACCGGGUGGGUGAAGAAGGCCUUCGGGUUGUAAAGCCCUUUUGUUGGGAAAGAAAAGCAGCAGGUUAAUACCCCGCUGUUCUGACGGUACCCAAAGAAUAAGCACCGGCUAACUUCGUG
This 492-nucleotide ribosomal RNA is filed under the name uncultured bacterium. RNAcentral's name for it is "partial 16S ribosomal RNA". It matches the Rfam family "Bacterial small subunit ribosomal RNA", at positions 29 to 507 of the family's 1533-position model. The record is from RNAcentral.